RNAcentral lists this ribosomal RNA (253 nucleotides) under uncultured bacterium. Its description in RNAcentral is "partial 16S ribosomal RNA". It matches the Rfam family "Bacterial small subunit ribosomal RNA", at positions 524 to 776 of the family's 1533-position model. The record is from RNAcentral.
UACAGAGGGGGCAAGCGUUGUUCGGAAUUACUGGGCGUAAAGGGCGCGUAGGUGGCCUUCUAAGUCGAACGUGAAAUCCCUGGGCUCAACCCAGGAACUGCGUCCGAGACUGGGAGGCUUGAAUCCGGGAGAGGGAUGCGGAAUUCCAGGUGUAGCGGUGAAAUGCGUAGAUAUCUGGAGGAACACCGGUGGCGAAGGCGGCAUCCUGGACCAAUAUUGACGCUGAGGAGCGAAAGCUAGGGGAGCAAACGGG